Molecule: ribosomal RNA, 370 nt
Filed under: uncultured bacterium
Lineage: Bacteria
Description: bacterial SSU rRNA
Rfam family: Bacterial small subunit ribosomal RNA
Source: RNAcentral
GGAGGGUGCAAGCGUUAAUCGGAAUUACUGGGCGUAAAGCGCACGCAGGCGGUUGGAUAAGUUAGAUGUGAAAGCCCCGGGCUCAACCUGGGAAUUGCAUUUAAAACUGUCCAGCUAGAGUCUUGUAGAGGGGGGUAGAAUUCCAGGUGUAGCGGUGAAAUGCGUAGAGAUCUGGAGGAAUACCGGUGGCGAAGGCGGCCCCCUGGACAAAGACUGACGCUCAGGUGCGAAAGCGUGGGGAGCAAACAGGAUUAGAUACCCUGGUAGUCCACGCCGUAAACGAUGUCGAUUUGGAGGCUGUGUCCUUGAGACGUGGCUUCCGGAGCUAACGCGUUAAAUCGACCGCCUGGGGAGUACGGCCGCAAGGKUA